AUUUUGUCCAUCUGGUCUCCUGUGUUCCUUUCACUAUGGAUCACUCCUUACUUCUCUUGAUCUUCCAAGGGUUCCUGGGUUUUGUUUGCCUAGACCAACAAUUUCCUUCCUUCCUUCCUACAACUCGUCAUCCUUCCCUCUCUUCAGGAUACAGUUAGCUGAGCUAAUAUCACUGAGGGACUCUUCCAUGUAUUCCAGUCCUGCCUUACAUCAGGGCAGGUCAGUCAAUCAGCAGCAAAGGAUUUGUUGCCCUCACUAUGACAACCAUCUUGUUAUAAGAUUCAGACAGGGAAAAUGGGACAUGACAUCACAAGACUAUUUCUACAAGGACACAAAUAAUUGUAACCCAUAGUGAUAAAUAUAGUGAGACAACAACAUUACUAUCAGUUGGAGUUUGUGCUGAAACAUAAAACCUGCUGCAUUGGAUCACAAGAUUUUGCAUUUUAUUCCUGCAUUGUCACUUAUACACAUUUCCAAUACAUUUUAUUAAUGUACACAUUAAUUAAUGCAUCUAAACCUACACGUUUACCAAUUUAUGCAUUUCUUCAUUGACUGAUACAUAUUUGUGCAAAUGUUUUCAAUGUUAUAAAUGAUUUCCUACAGACAAAGAUGUCUGACAAGGGUGCAAUUUAUAACCCAACCUGCUCAAUCUGUAUGCAGAACGUAUCAUAUGGAAAGCCGAACUAGAUUCAAAUGAAGGAGGAAUGAGAUGUCUGACAAGGGUGCAGUUUAUAACCCAACCUGCUCAAUCUGUAUGCAGAACG
This 764-nucleotide long non-coding RNA is filed under the name Pogona vitticeps (central bearded dragon). RNAcentral describes it as "lncRNA (ENSPVIG00000014551.1)". The record is from RNAcentral. Lineage: Eukaryota; Metazoa; Chordata; Lepidosauria; Squamata; Agamidae.